UUUGUGAUUUAUCUAUUUCAGGUAAAAUAUAUGUGAUUCAUUGAGAAAUAUAUGGAACAUGGAAUCAGUUAUUGCUUUUGGAAAUGAAAAUCUAAUCGUCUUAUGUGUCAUAACUGUGGCUAUUUUAGUAAUAUCCAUUGUUUAUCAAACAAAAACUAGACGUAGAAAAGAAUUAGUAGGAUAUGUUAGCGCACUUAAUGUAUUUCCUGUGAAAUCUUGCAAAGGGAUGCCACUAAACUCGGCUGAAGUUACUAAUUUAGGAAUAAAGCAUGACAGGCAAUUUGUUUUGGUGAAUAAAUUUGGAACUUUUAUGACUUUGCGGAGAUACCCAAAGCUUGUGUUGAUAAAUCAGAAAAUAACAGAGGACGAGAUUGUUUUACAAGUGGAUGGAAUGCCUUUGUUAAAGCUACCUUUGUUUAUGACAGAAGGAGAAUUUUCAAGAGAGAUAAAAGUGUUUCGAAAAUCAGCCGUUGGUGUUCAUGUAUCUCAGGAGGCAGACGAUUGGUUUGCAGAGUAUUUGAAUGUGAAGGGGUGUCAAUUGUUUUGUUUCCAAUUGGGUGGAAAACCUCGCUUUUCUGAUGAUAAUAAUGUCAAAGUGGCCAACUACAGCAACGAGAACGACACACUUAUGUUUGCCGAUAGUUGUCCCAUCCUACUCAUGUCAGAAGGGACUCUUGCCGAGUUAAAUCUCAGUUUGGAUUCAAAAGUUGAUGUUAGCCGCUUUCGACCUAAUAUUGUGGUUACCAAAUGCAUGCCACAUGCAGAGGAUAAAUGGGGCUUGAUACAGAUUGGCGAGACGCAUCUUCAAGGACUUUACCCCUGUCCUAGAUGUGUUGCUGUUGCUGUUGACAACUCAACUGCUGAACUCGAUAAAAAUGUAUUACCAACGAUCUUGAGGGUGAGUCCAGCCAGUGACGACUACCCUAUUUUAAAGGGAGAGGCCGUAUUGGGAUUUAACUAUGGUGUACGUAAGCAAGGAGAGAUUCGUGUUGGCGAUCCGGUUUAUAAGCUGAUAUAAAACUAGUAUCUUUCCGGCGAAUGCAAUAUCUCAAGUAUGUCUUUGUGUAGCAAAUAGAAGCUUCAAGAUUCGUACACAAUUUCGCGCCUUCGCGUUCGCCAGUGUAGAAAUUUAAUCAGAAAAUACGCGCAAAACCUGCGCAAAAACUAAAAUUUGACCUUGUGCGAAAAUUAUUACGCUCGAAAUUUUUUUCACUGCGAAAAAUUGACAAGCACGAAUAAGGUAUUAUGCCACUAAGGUCUAUUUGACGGAUGGGAAUCGAGUAGACACCUUAAAGGGAAUUUUGGAUAUUUUUUUCUUUUUUUAAAAAAACUUACACAAAACUCCCACACACUUGAAACAGGAUAAAAAGUUAAUUUUGAUCAUUCUCAAUUAUAAUUUCAGUGAAACCUGGUGUUUUAAGCAUGUUUCCUGAUUUUGUUGUCUUUUUAUUACAAAUACACUAUGAUACAAAAACAAAUAUAUCCAUUGAUUUGCAUUAAUAGUGAUAAUUAUUUGCUCUUCUAAAGCUUACAUAAACUUUUUCCGUACUUAGCCACCGGGUUUUUCUGUUUACAUGGACAAAUAUCCAUCCCGUUUAACCGGGAUCCCGGCUCACUUGCCCGCGAUCUCGGUUGACCGAGUUUCCCGACGUAACCAGGGCGAGACGAAUAUGCACCAUAUAAACACGGUUUCAUUAUUCAGCGCUCUUUCGCAAAUACCGAGAUCUCGGUCAUGCGGGAUAUCUCGGUGGACCGAGUCUCCCGGUCUCAUAUAAAAAGGCCCUUAUUCAAUUUUGUGAACCUUGACGUGGUGUGUUAUGGGCGUCGCAAGCUUUCGAAUGCCGACGUUAAUUAGGAUUGAAAGGCUAUGUUGCAAACUUGCUUAGCUUGUGAAUUGCUCUAAUCUUAAUCAGAACAUGUAAAACGAAAGAAAGCAUUGCGUUGUGGUGUUGGGAGGAAUAUGACGUCAUUAGUUCAUAAAUUCCAGUUCGUAAAGAAUUAUUAUUGGUUAGGACAAUUGUUAUACAAUAUAUAUAUAUAUAUAUAUAGCGUUUUAUUUUUUGUUCUGUUUAUAUUAGCUCUUAAUAAGACUGGUUUAUCAAAUUGUUUGCAUUCUCAGAAAAUGGAGAAGUGGCUCUCAAGUCAAAAUAUAGAACUUUCUUGGAAGUUAUUUGAAGAAAAGAAAAGUCUACUAAAUAAGCCGAAUAAAAAUGCAAAUUUAUAAAGAAGUUGAAAUAGAUUAAAAGUCAAAAAGUUAGUAAAAAUAUAAUAUUUUUUCAUUAAUAAAUUGACGAAGAUAAGAAAAUUAUUCGUAAUUCGUAGUAUCUUAAUUCUCAGAAAUUAAUUUAAUAUUUACCUCCUACAUAGAAAUGCUACACGGGUACAGCAAAAAUUUAUUCUUUACUCGUGACAUUAAAUUAAAAAGCUCCUCAAAUAUUUCAAAUUUUUGUGGAAAAAAAAGAUCAAACUGAACAUCAAUCAAAUGUCAUCAAAUUUGAUUCUAUAAAAAGAGUGGCAGCCCUGGAAAAUGUGUUUUUUUCUUUAUAUUUUGAAUGUAUGAAGAUAAGUUACAGUUUUUAAAAUAUACUUUUUACAAUGUAA
This is an RNA transcript of Hydractinia symbiolongicarpus, 2601 nucleotides long. It is a transcript of the gene named mitochondrial amidoxime reducing component 2-like, with no coding region annotated. Lineage: Eukaryota; Metazoa; Cnidaria; Hydrozoa; Anthoathecata; Hydractiniidae. The transcript has 8 exons. The record is from RefSeq and is a predicted model, not a curated record.